Molecule: ribosomal RNA, 254 nt
Filed under: uncultured bacterium
Lineage: Bacteria
Description: partial 16S ribosomal RNA
Rfam family: Bacterial small subunit ribosomal RNA
Source: RNAcentral
GACAGAGGGUGCAAACGUUGCUCGGAAUUACUGGGCGUAAAGCGCACGUAGGCGGAUAUUUAAGUCAGGGGUGAAAUCCCAGAGCUCAACUCUGGAACUGCCUUUGAUACUGGGUAUCUUGAGUAUGGAAGAGGUAAGUGGAAUUGCGAGUGUAGAGGUGAAAUUCGAUAGAUAUUCGCAGGAACACCAGUGGCGAAGGCGGCUUACUGGUCCAUUACUGACGCUGAGGUGCGAAAGCGUGGGGAGCAAACAGG